This is a long non-coding RNA of Chiroxiphia lanceolata (lance-tailed manakin), 358 nucleotides long. RefSeq lists it as uncharacterized. NCBI's taxonomy places the organism in Eukaryota, Metazoa, Chordata, Aves, Passeriformes, Pipridae. The record is from RefSeq and is a predicted model, not a curated record. The transcript is spliced from 3 exons.
AUGGAAUGAAGUUGAAAGGAUUUAUGAAUAAAAUUGUUGGCCAUGUAAGCCAUUUUUCUUCACAACCCGGUGAAGACCUGACUUCUACAGCAGUUCAACACGAUUUGAAAGAGGCCUCUGAGGACAAAGGCUAAAAGCAUCUCCUGUGAACUUUAGUACAAUACGUGCCUGUAGGCACCUCUCAUUCUUCACAGGUCACAUUUAAAUGAAGCUUCCACACGGGACCAAGCUUGACAAAAAAGAACAUCUAUACUUUGAGAAAAAGAGUUGGACUGCUUUUUGGUAGGUUCUUUCAAGACGCAGGUGAUGUAAAGGCACUUUGUCAGGUCCGGUUUGUCCUCCAGUUCAGAUUACAUUC